GACGAACGCUGGCGGCGUGCUUAACACAUGCAAGUCGAACGGAAAGGCCCUGCGUUUGUGGGGUGCUCGAGUGGCGAACGGGUGAGUGACACGUGAGUAACAUGCCCUUGACUGUGGGGUAACUUCCGGAAACUGGGGCUAAUACCGGGUAGGAGCUCCUGCUGCAUGGGGGGGGUGGGAAAGAGUCGGCGGUUGGCGUUGGUCUAGCGGCGUAUCAUCGUGUUGGAGGGGUAGGGGCUUACCAAGGCUUUGCAGGGUGGCGGGCCGGAGAUGGUGCCCGGCCCCAUCGGGACUGGGAUACGGCCCAGACUCCUACGGGAGGCAGCAGUGGGGAAUAUUGCACCAUGGGCGGAAGCCUGAUGCAGCAACGCCGCGUGCGGGAUGACGGUCUUCGGGUUGUAACCCGCUUUCGCCUGUGACGAAGCGUGAGUGACGGUAAUGGGUAAAGAAGCACCGGCUAACUACGUG
This 468-nucleotide ribosomal RNA is filed under the name uncultured bacterium. RNAcentral's name for it is "partial 16S ribosomal RNA". It matches the Rfam family "Bacterial small subunit ribosomal RNA", at positions 28 to 507 of the family's 1533-position model. The record is from RNAcentral.